AUGUUCUACACUUCCCCCUGGCUAAUCAAAAGAGCUUUAGUCCAUGCUAUCAUGUCUCUGUGGAAAUUGUACAGCACUUUCAGAAUGAUUUACUUGGUGCAUAAAGCUUUAGAUCUUAGCUCGUGUGGGGAUGAUCUACCUGCUGGCAGUUGCUAGCAACAACAAUUAGCAAUUUUGGAAAACAAUUUUAGGACUGUCCGCAUUUUAAGGGAUCUACUCAAGCUGG
Molecule: non-coding RNA, 226 nt
Organism: Vicia faba (fava bean)
Lineage: Eukaryota; Viridiplantae; Streptophyta; Magnoliopsida; Fabales; Fabaceae
Source: the annotation of a GenBank genome assembly